RNAcentral lists this ribosomal RNA (210 nucleotides) under uncultured bacterium. RNAcentral's name for it is "partial 16S ribosomal RNA". It matches the Rfam family "Bacterial small subunit ribosomal RNA", at positions 29 to 266 of the family's 1533-position model. The record is from RNAcentral.
AACGAACGCUGGCGGCAGGCCUAACACAUGCAAGUCGAACGCUCCGCAAGGGGGAGUGGCGCACGGGUGAGUAACACGUGGGAACCGUACCUUCUGGUACGGAACAACCAAGGGAACUCUGGCUGAUACCGGUAUACGACCUCCGGGUGAAGAUUGAUCGCCGGAAGAGGGGCCCGCGUCCGGAUUAGGUAGUUGGUGAGGUAACGGCUC